CCUACGGGUGGCAGCAGUGAGGAAUAUUGGUCAAUGGCCGGAAGGCUGAACCAGCCAUGCCGCGUGAAGGUCAGUGCCCUAUGGGCGUUAAACUUCUUUUGUGCGGGAGCAAUAAUGGUCACGUGUGGCCAGACGAGAGUACCGUACGAAUAAGCAUCGGCUAACUCCGUGCCAGCAGCCGCGGUAAUACGGGGGAUGCAAGCGUUAUCCGGAUUUAUUGGGUUUAAAGGGUGCGUAGGCUGUGAGGUAAGUCAGCGGUGAAAUGCCCCCGCUCAACGGGGUGAAGUGCCAUUGAUACUGCCUGGCUUGAAGGCGGAUGCCGGGGGAGGAAUGUGUGGUGUAGCGGUGAAAUGCAUAGAUAUCACACAGAACACCGAUUGCGAAGGCAUCUCACGAAUCCGCGAUUGACGCUGAUGCACGAAAGCGUGGGUAUCAAACAGGAUUAGAUACCCGGGUAGUC
This 460-nucleotide ribosomal RNA is filed under the name uncultured bacterium. Its description in RNAcentral is "partial 16S ribosomal RNA". It matches the Rfam family "Bacterial small subunit ribosomal RNA", at positions 338 to 795 of the family's 1533-position model. The record is from RNAcentral.